UGCAACUCUGGUCCUUCCAUAACAAUGAGACUCCAUCAGCUCCACACUUUGCAUCUCCACAGUGAGCCCUUGGGACCGAAAAUGCUUAAAUAGAACUAUGUUCCUUACAUAACAGUGGGACCCAUCAGUGCUCACGUUGCAUCACCAUAGUGAGUCCUUGGGACCGAAUGUGCUUAAAUGCCAGCAUGGUCCUAUAUAACAGUCGAACAGCAUCAGCUUCACAUUUAGCAACCGCACAGUGAGUCCUUGGGACUGAAUAUGUUUAAAUGGCACUAUGGUUCUUACAUAACAGUGGGACCCCAUCACCUGCACACUUGGCAUCACCGCAGUGAGUUCUUGAGACCGACAGUGCUUAAAUGCCAGCACGGUCCUAUAUAACAUUCGAACACCAUGAGCUUCACACUUAUACCACCACAGUGAGUCCUGGGCCCGAAUGUGCCUAAAUGCCACUAUGUUCCUUACGUAACAGUGGGACCCAUCAGCUGCACACUUUGCAUCACCGCAGUGAGUUCUUGAGACCGAAUGUGCUUAAAUGCCAGCACGGUCCCAUACAACAGUCGAACAGCAUCAACUUCACCCUUUACCACCACAGUGAGUUCUUGGGACUGGAUGUGCUUAAAUGCAACUCUGGUCCUUCCGUAACAAUGAGACUCCAUCAGCUCCACACUUUGCAUCUCCAGAGUGAGUCCUUGGGACCGAAUGUGCUUAAAUAGAACUAUGUUCCUUACAUAACAGUGGGACCCAUCAGCUGCUUAUGUUGCAUCACCAUAGUGGGUCCUUGGGACCGAAUGUGCUUAAAUGGCCGCACGGUCCUAUGUAACAGUCGAACAGCAUCAGCUUCACACUUUACCACCACAGUGAGUACUUGGGACUGAAUGUGCGUAAAUGCCACUAAGGUCCUUACGUAACAGUGGGACCCUUCAGCUGUAUACUUUGUAUCACAUAGUGAGUCCUUGAGAGCAAAUAUGCUUAAAUGCCAGCACGGUCCUAUAUAACAUUCGAACACCAUCAGCUUCACACUUUUACCACCACAGUGAGUCCUGGGGACUGAAUGUGCCUAAAUGCCACUAUGGUCCUUACGUAACAUGGGACCCAUCAGCUGCACACGUUUACCACCAUAGUGAGUACUUGGGACCUAAUGUGCUUAAAUGGCACUAUGGUCCUUAUGUAACAAUGAGACUCCAUGAGCUUCAGCUUUGAAUCACUAGAGUGAAUCCUUGAGACCGAAUGUGCUUAAAUGCCAGCAUGGUCCUAUAUAAGAGUCGAACACCAUCAGCUUCACACUUUACCACCACAGUGAGUCUUGGGGACUGAAUGUGCCUAAAUGCCACUAAGGUCCUUACGUAACAGUGGGACCCUUCAGCUGCACACUUUGUAUCACAUAGUGAGUCCUUGGGACCGAAUGUGCUUAAAUGCCAGCACGGUCCUAUAUAACAGUCGAACAGCAUCAGCUUCACACUUUACCACCACAGUGAGUACUUGGUACUGAAUGUGCCUAAAUGCCACUAUGGUCCUUACGUAACAGUGGGACCCAUCAGCUGAACACUUUUACCACCACAGUGAGUACUUGGGACUGAAUGUCUAAAUGCCACUAAGGUCCUUUCGUAACAGUGGGACCCAUCAGCUGCACACUUUGCAUCACAUAGUGAAUCCUUGGGACCGAAUGUGCUUAAAUGCCAGCACGGUCGUAUAUAACAGUUGAACACCAUCAGCUUCACACUUUUACCACCACAGUGAGCUUUACACUUUGAAUCACUACAGUGAGUUCUUGGGACUGAAUGUGCCUAAAUGCCACUAUGGUCCUUACAUAACAUGGGAACAAUCAGCUUCACACUUUGCAUCACCACAGUGAGUACUUGGGACCAGAUGUCCUUAAAUUCCACAUGUUCCUUAUAUAACUGUAGGAUCCCAUUCCUGAAACUUUUUCAUACCACUGUAGGUGCUUGGGAGUAAUUCCGCCCAAAUGACACUCUGGUCCUUCUGUAACAAUGGGACCGGAACCCUGCACACUUUGCAUCACACAGUGAGUAUGUGGGACCUAAGUACUUAAAUGCCACUAUGGUCCCUACCUAACAGUGGGAUCCCUUGAGCUUCACACUUUGCAUCAUAGUGAGUGCUUGUGACCGAAUGUGCUUAAAUUCUGUUAUGGCCUUACAGAACUAGGAUGUGGUCCCUAACACCUUUCAACACCACAGUGAGUACUUGGGACCGAAUGUGCUUAAAUGCCAGCACGGUCCUAUAUAACAGUCGAACACCAUGAGCUUCAGUCUUUUAUCACCACAAUGAGUACUUGGAACUGAAUUGUCUUAAAAGGCACUCUGGUGCUUACCUAACAAUGAGACUCCAUUAGCUUCAUACUUUGAAUCACCACAGUGAGUCCUUGACACUGGAUGUACUGAAAUGCCAGUAUGGUCCUUAUAUAACUUAGGACUAAUUCCCUACACCGUUUGCAUCUGCAACCUGAGUUCUUUAAACUGAAUGUGCUUAAAUGGCACUCUGGUCCUUACAUAAGAGUGGGCCCCCAUCAGCGUCACACUUUGUACCAUCACAGUGAGUGCUUGGACCAUAUGUGCUUAAAUAUCAUGUGGUCCUUAUAUAACUAUAGGAUUUCAUCUCUAAAACUUUUUCACACCACUGUAGAUGCUUGGGAGUAAUUAUGUCCAAAUGGCACUCUAGUCCUUCUGUAACAAUUGAACCCAAACCCUGCACAAUUUGCAUCACACAGUGAGUACAUGGGACUGAAUGUGCUUAAAUGCCACUCUAGUAGUUACCUAACUAUGGGACCUCAUCGGCUUCAGACUUUGUAUCACCACUGUGAGUAUUUGGACUGAAUGUGCUUAAAUGGCACUCUUGUCCUUACGUACGAGUGGGACCCCAUCAGCUUCACACUUUAUACCAUAACAGAGUGCUUGGACCAUACAUGCUUAAAUGCACAUGGUCCUUAUAUAAGUAUAGGAUCUCAUCCCUAAAACUUUUUCAUACCACUAUAGAUGCUUGUGAGUAAUUAUGUCCAAAUGGCACUCUGGUCCUUCUGUAACAAUGAGACUCCAUCAGCUUCACACUUCGCAUCACCACAGUGAGUCUUUGGGACCAAAUGUGCUUAAAUGCCACGAUGGUCCUUACGUAACAAUGAGACUCCAUUAGCUUUACACUUUGAAUCACUACAGUGAGUUCUUGGGCCUGGAUGUGCUUAAAUGCCACUGUGGUCCUUAGGUAACAGUGGGACCCCAUCAGCUGCACACUUUGUAUCACCAUAGUGAGUUCUUGUGAGCGAAUGUGUUGAAUGCCGCUAUGGUCCCUAUGUAACUGUAAGGUCCCAUGCCUAAAAACUUUUAUCAUCACAGUGAGUGCUUGGGACUGAAUAUGCUUAAAUGGCACUCUGGUCCUUACAUAACAAUGAGACUCCAUUAGCUUCACACCUUUAAUCACUACGGUGAGUCCUUGAGACUGAUUGUACUUAAAUGCCAGUAUGGUCCUUAUAUAAAUGUAGGACCGAUUCCCUACACACUUCGCAUCUCCACCGUGAGUACUUAGGACUGAAUGUGCUUAAAUGCCACUCUGGUCCAUACCUAACAAUGAGACUCCAUCAGCUUCACACUUUGCAUCACCACAGUGAGUGCUUGGGACCAAAUGUACUUCAAUGCUUCAAUGGUCCUUAUGGAACUGUAGGAUCCCAUCCCUAAAAAUUUUCACUUCCACAGUGAGUCCUUGGGACUGAAUGUGCUUAAAUGCAACUCUGGUCUUUCCAUAACAAUGAGACCCCAUCAGCUCCACACUUUGCAUCACCAUAGUGAGUGCUUGUGAGCGAAUGUGUUUAAAUGCCACUCUGGUCCUUAUGUAACUAGGAUCCCAUCCCUAAAAAUUUUCAUCACCACAGUGAAUACCUGGGACUGAAUAUGCUUCAGUGGCCUCUGGUCCUCAUGUAACUGGGACCCCAUCUUGGGACUGUGGAUACUUUUCGUUAAUUGUCCAUGGUCUUGUGAGUGAAUUUGGGUUCCUGACUCUUCCCAGCCUCUUUGUUUUACUCUCCACCUAAGGGCCCUUUCUCAGUGUUAGUGCACACAAUCAUUACAGUAGCAUCCCGCCACACCUCGCUCCCUCUUAAAGUGCACAGGAAUUGUGACCCGUAAGGUCCCAUUUCUUGGCCUGUUAAUACAUAUGACUGUAUCUGUCUGGGCUCCUGUGCACUUGCCAAGGACACCUGUGCUUACUCCCAUUUGUUCCAGCAGGGAGUGUCCCCUCCAGAAGACCGUUCUACUGGGACAGGCAUGGUACACAGCUGUAACUGAUGAGGACCAUGCAUGCGGGGUAUGAAUAUGCAUAGCUGCACAUGGUUCAUUCCAUUAGAAUAAGCUGCUACCCCCUUAGACCCUUAAGUUACUGAGGCCUUGUUUCAUGGCUUGCUGUUCUGCAUAAAUGCAUUUGUCCAUGUUCCUUUAUAGUAGGUAAACACACCUGUCCUCAAUCCCAGAGCCUUUUAGCAACGAGUGCCUGCUACUCUAAGAGCCUGGUAUUUGUACAAGGUACACGAUUUUAAUUCACCACACCACGUCCCUUGGAUAUUCAUGUAUAUAAUCUCAACUUAGUUUGUCCUACCCCGUUGGCCUCCAGUUUGCAGUAUACCACAGUUGCCAACCUCUAAAUGGCCUUUCUUGGCCUGUGAAUGUGCAUAAUUGCAUUUGUCUGGGUUUUGGUGCACCAGACAAGCACACUGCCCUGUUCUAUGCAAUAAACACCCCACCUACUUCCUUAGCAGUGCCCAGUACUGAAGACCCUGUCACUUGGAAAGUUCAUGUGUACAGAUGCAAUUUUCUAUGCACGUCCUAUACCAGAAGCACUGUACCCUCUUUGCUUUAUAGCAAGGAGGUGCUAUUCAACUAAUGCCCUUUCUUUGGGACUGUAAUGUGCAUGAUUGCAAUUGUCCAUCUCUUCUGUUGGAGUAGGAUUGCAUCCCCUCAUAUGCCCCCUUUGCAUUUGGGGCAUGUUAGCCAUGAAUGAGCUUUUCCCUUAAAUUAGUAAUGUGCAUAGUUGUAUGUGUAUGUUGACCUGUGCAGUAGAAAAGGAUGCUUUAUGUCCCUGCCACUGCCACUGAAUUACUGCUGACCAUUAUGACCUCAGGUCCUGAACAAUUAUUGGCACCAAUAACAACUAUCCAAAGUACUGAUUAUUGGGCAGGGCGCCUGAACCCUCUUUGUAUGUGUCAGGGUUAAUGACUCAGGCCCCUUUUGGGAACCUUUCAUGUGACUAUUUGCAAUUACCUAUGUAUGCCCCCUUCUGUUAGAGUAGGGUGCCAUUCCCUUACACCCCCUUUGCAUUACUGCAGGGGCAGCUGAGCACACAAAACCUCUCCUGGCAAUGGUAAUGCGCACAAUGGCAAUUAGCAAUGGGUUUUUCCCAGCCCCAAACAAACCCGUCAUCCCACUCCCUUUGCAUUGCUCCAGGAUAUAAAAUUCCAAGUAGUCACGGUCUUACUCUUAUGUUCCCUCUCCCCAGCCCCUGCCUGCCCUUGGACCCUUCUGAUGGACUAUUAAUCACAUUUCAGGUGUCCAUGUAUCCAGCCAUUGGAUAACAUUGUGCUUCCUCCGCCUUCCCACCCCUGCCCAGAUGUCAUUGGUUCACCCAGUGUAUUUGGAUUGCUGUAGUGCCUCAGUUGCACUUCCCUUGGUCCCGCCCAUCCGACACGGACUCCUCCACUUAAUUUGCAUUGCUUCUGAGUAAUGCUGACUACCCGAAGCCCCUUCUGUGUUAUUAAUUAACACAGUACUGAUUGUCCCACUUUUCAACCCAUCAGCCCGAGAUCUCCCUGCCCCCUCAAUGUUGUGAUUGUGCAGUGUUGACUACCAAAGCAGGCCUGAACUAGGUGGAUGGGCCUUCACUCCUUUUCCGCAUCUUUUAAGGAUCCCAAUUUCAAUUAUUGUCCCAGUGUGGGGACAGGAACCAUCCCUGGCCACCUCUGCUACUGCUUUACUGGGCAAAAAGCUUAAGGCAAGUCAGGCCCAGGGAGCUAUCUUUUGAGAAAGACAUGUGAAUUGCAAGGUGGAAUUGAUAACCUGGUCAUUGAAUUUUUCAAGUUGAAAAACCCAUUUACGCCGUGUACCUGAUGAGCAGUGUCUCAUUUUACUAAGGGUGGUGGGUCUGUGGAUAGACCACUGUGACGACUAUCCCAAAGGAGUUCUAGACUGGAACUCAUAAGACCAGUCAUUUUGGGCUUUACCACCAUUCACUUUUAGGAAAACUACCUAACCUUUGUGAUCCUUACAUUUCUUCAUCUGGAGCACUAACUGAGCCCCUAUUUAUCUCAAGAUUGCUGUAAAAGGAUGAAAUGAGAGAACAUAUAGCGUAGAUCACCUUAUUUGAUUAUUACAUAAAGCACACCCUGUUUAGUCGUGCUCAUUUAAAGUAGCCUCAAGGACCACCCUGAAGUAAGGACUUAGAGAUGAUGUUUCCCUGUUUUAUGUCAAAAAAAUAAGCCAAGGUCUAAUUGUUCUGGAUGUGAAUUGCAAUAGUGAGCUACCUGCGUGGUGAAAAUGAAUAAUAGCCUAGCCUCUAGUGUGCAUGGUGUUUGGUGGCAGAGAAGUAUUUCGUGAGGAAAUUACUAGUCAUGACAACAGCAGUUCUUUGUAAUGACUGAGAAAGGAUACUAUUCCGGGUAGAAGGAUGCCAAAAGGUCGGCCCAGCUCAGGGCGCAGUUUGCACUGCUAGCUCCUUGGACAGCUGUAAGAAGAGUCUCUGGCUCUUUAGAACACUGGAUGGAUUCUGAGCCAGCUCUGUACCCCUACACAGGAAGGACGGAACAGUGUUAGAUGGAUUGAAGCCUGCACUUCGCAUCCAAAGGACAUUCUGAGCAUGGACCACCUGAGGACUGGGCUGUAAGCAGCUCUAAGAAGCUCCACAUUCAAUGGAUCUUUCCUUUUGAGAAUCUGGAUAAGCUCCAAGCACUCUGAGAAGGUGGCUUACAGGCCACCUGGACCAAAAGGUCUUCCUGAGAAGAACAGGCUUGUUGCUUUACGGUGGUAGUGACCCAUUCCCUUUGACGGUCCUUAGGUGGAGAUGGGGCAUAAGGAUCCUCCAGGGGAAAGGCUCACCACCACUGGGCAACAACCCUAGGCCAGGAGGCUCAACCAAGAUUCUUUCCUGGGCCCCGACAGGAAGGUCAAGUCUCAAGACAACGUCAGAGCACCUGAUUCUUCCCUUUCUAUCUACCAGAAUCACCUUCCUCAAAAGCAGUGCAAGGAGCAAGAAAUCUGAUCGCACCAAAGAUUGACAUGCCUGACACGCGUUUUAGACGAGCAGGAUGAAUUGUGCCCUUUUUCCUCUGAAUGUCUGCUUUGGCUUACCUCUUUCACUCAAAAGUGUGCAUUUCUUUGCUUGUCUUUUUCUUCCUUGAAUGUCUUUGGUCUUUGUUCUCUAAAGUGUGUCUUACCCAUUUCUGGGAUUCUCUUGCUAGUUUCUUCUCUGUGUCUCACUUUCUAUUUUGUUCGUGAGAGUGGUCUUCUCUCCCUGUGUGUGUCUGCGUCCCAGCUGCCUGCUCUGUGCUCAUUUCUUAUCCUGCCCACCUCUCUUUUGUUCUCUCUGUGAACUGAUUGUUUGUGACUCUCUCCCCUUGUUUGUUUGACAUUUUACCUUUUUCUGAUCCUGCUGUUUCUACUCCAUCUUGGCUUUCCCUUUCCACAUGUCCUUUCUGCCUCUCUUGGGCCAUUUUCUCUCUUUUCCCUGCUCUGGGUGCCUCCAUGUCUCUUUGUUCUUUGUUUCUUCCAUUUUGUCAGUCUUCUCUCUUUUCUCUUGUUUCUUCUCUGCUUUUUCCCUUCUGCUGACUUUUGGGUCUUUUGGCCUCUUCAUGAGUCUGUGUCUUCCCCUCCUUGAUGUCCUGUAGUCUUCUCUCCUUGCAUAUUUUUUGUGCAUGUGUUUGCUCAUGCUUGCAUAUUUGUUGUGUUUGUGGGCUCUUAAGCCCUUUCUAAUAGGUGCAGUGUCAGCUAUCAAAAUAAGCGUUGCAGAGCGGUUCCUCUGUCAGGCUGUCCUGUGCGAUGAUGCCCAUAGUGGAUGCAAGGCCCAAGAAGACAGAUGCUUAGAGACUUGAAACCUGAGGACUCAAACUGAAAACACCUGAGACCGCUGGAAGCCCCAAGGGCCACAACGUAUACAGGGUGGCCUUUGUCGGACAAAACACUUGACUGAGUUGGACAGAAGGCUGAAAACCCAGGACGGGUCUUCAUGGGACUCAUAGAAGGCCUGAGAGCUGACAUAAAAAGACCCAAGGACGGGAGGCCUCAGACACAAAUAAAGACCCAGGAGUCAAACCUCUCUAUGUGGACUUGAAGGCCCAAGAGAGACUGGGUGGGCAGCUGCAGUCCUCUGACUUGGAAUCCAGAAGGAUAGACGCUCUAAGACCAAGACAAGAACCCUACACUCAGCUCUUUUCGUCCUCCCUUCUCUUGGACAUUUUCCAUUCUCCCCUUUCCAGCUCUCCUGUCUCCAUUUAAGCGCACUUAUUUUGAGAUAUCUUUUGUGAUGUAGAGAGACAUAUCUUUAAAUCAGCAAUAGUAUGCCUGAGCCAGUCUAAGCCAGUUUUUAUCACAGUUUUGAGACAUUUUUGGUGUUUUUUUUUAAAAAAAACUUCCAUUUCUCUUCACCUCUACUCCAUUUGAGAGAGACAUAUAGGUGAUGUUAUAUUUCAGUCCCCCCUUUUCCUCAGAAGCUCUAGGCUGAUGAGAAAGGGAAAUAAGUGCCAGGCUGUCCAGGCCGAUGGGAAGAAAUGAGACAAGAAAUACACACACGCGCCAGGCUGCUGAGAAGCACCAGCCAGCAACACCUUACUUCUUUGAGCUUUGGUGAGCAGGAUUCCUGGGGCUUGGGGUUCCUAGUGAUGGCAACAAAAAAGGAUGAGUGGUCCUGGGACAGUGAGGUCCAAGGAGGGAGCCUGAACCCCCUGCUCACAGUAGUGGCCUCAGAAUUUGGUAGACGGCACCAAACUUCCCUUGGCUUAAAGUUUAGAGAACUUGGGGAGUAUUUAUCAGGUUCAGGCCUUGAUUUCUUCCCUCUUACCAUGAGGAAAGAUAAUUCAAAUGGUUGACAGUAUAUAUGAAAGCAAGGUGUUCUCAUUAAUAGUGUCGUGGCAGCCACGCACUGCUGUUAUUUGAAAGUGCACGAUCAGUUGUGAAGUAUUAUGGAAAUGGGGUCAUCACACCCCCCUCUCUAAAGGGUCAGAUAGUAAAUAUCUUCGGCCUUACAAGCCAUGUGGUCUUUGUUGCAUUUUUUUUAACAACCCUUUAAAAAGGAAGAACUAUUCUUAGCUUGUGAACCAAGUGAAUUUGGUCUGUGGGCCAUAGAUACCCCUGAUGUAAAUGCUAGGGACUGGGCUGAAUAAUAUUAAUUUCCUUGUGUGCUUCGCCUGUCCCUUUGUAAACUAUGAAACUGCUUAGACUUCCAACUUUCAGAGUUGAUGAACAGAUAUUGAUUACACAGUAGAUACAGUCUACUGUCUAAGCACUGGAUAUAGAGAUUAAAAGAAACAUGAAUAUAGUGCUUUGUCAAAAGUAUGUAAUACCAUGCAGAUAUUAGGAAUUAAGUUGAUAACAUAUUCAUAUAUUUGUAGCCAUCGUUUUCUGUUGCGAUGGUGACUCUGAGUAAAACUAAAGUAUUCCAGGUAGCAGAAAAGAAAACAUGGAAACUGCUUUUAAACUCUGCAAUAUACGUAAGUUAUUGUGAUGACUUACAAUGUGCCAGAUAACAUGCUAGGCACUCCCGAUGACAAGGCAAAAAGAAAGUAUUCUCAAUUUACAAUUGAAAAUGUCAGCUAGGAAGUGCAUUUUCAAGUGCUUUGUAAACUAAAGCACUGAAUAAAUGCUAAUGGACUACAUUUAAUGAAUGAAUGAAUGAAUGAAUACUAAUUGCCUUUUAUGUGCCACUAUUGUUAUGAGGAAGGCAGUGUGAAUAGUUAUACAAAUUGAGAGUUUAAAUACUUGUUAAACUAUUGAAAGGAAUGAUCAUCAGUUGCCUACCAUGUGAACUCCUGGUUAUGGCACAAGGAGAUCUGUGCACUUAUCAUUUCAUUGUGCCUACAGCUGAGAAUAAGGCAAUAAAGCACCAUAGAACUAGAGCUGUUGAUUUCCUCAUUUGGUGCCAAGUACUAGGCUUACAGCCUUGUAACACAGUUCUGACUAUGAACCAAAGUUGGAAAAAACUUGGGGAUGGAUUGUUCACUAUUGAACACUGAAUAUAAUCUGUAAAAGAUUAAGUACAUGAUGAAUGCGAGACUGGAUAAUAAUUGCCUAUUAUGUACCAGUCUUUUCGCUAGGCAUUGAGAUGUGAAGAUAAACCAGCUUGUACUGUGUCCGGGGCAGCAGCACAGAAUGUGUAAAAACUUACAAGUCUUAAACUGCCAUACAUAUAUAAGCAAUACCUGCUGGUUGAACAUCAAUGAUUUACUCUCAUCCCCCAGAGAUGCAGAGUUUCAUAAUUCUUGCCGAACCUGCAGCAGAGGCCUGUGUGUACAUUUACCAUGCCUACUGUUCUAUACAGAUAAAAGGAAUUCACUUUGCCUGAAUGAAUGAUUACUGAUCACUUUCCAUGAGGCUCAGAACUGCAUAUGCCCUACGAUACAAAAAGGAUUAUAUCCUCAUAGGAUGCCCACUGGAGGAAAUGAGGUAGUAAGUGUGAGAUUCAGAUUUUACUUUACAGUUAUUUAAUGAUGAAAACAUGGGGAAAAUAUAAAUUUUUUUUGAAAGCAAGGUGUUCCGAUUCUCCAUCCGUUUUUUUAAUGCUGAAUACCGAAGAUGGAGGUGAUCACAUCUACCUUGGCCUGGCUUAGAGACAUUUAAGGAACAAAAAUAAAUGGCUCGGGUUUCCUUUUCAGUUCAUUUGAUAAACAGAGCAUAUUUUAUGUGAAAUAGAUCAUUCUAGGUCCUGAGCAUUACAGACGUGAAAUGGGACUACUCUAAAUGGCUUUACAUCGCAGAUCAUAGCCGAAGAUCUGAAAACACCUUUGAGUUUUGAGUAAAUAUUUGAGUACCUGUUUUCUGGAAGGCACUAUGCUAGAUGAAUUAGUUGAGUAGGUCUGGUCCAGAAAACCCAUUGACUUGCCUUGGAGAGUUAAAAACUAGGGCAAAAGGCAUGGUUCUUUUGAUACAAAAUGAAGACAUUUUCCCCUAGUUCUAUACAGUCCCAAAGUCACUUGCUCAUUGACCUAAUUUGAAGCCAGAAUGAUAAAGGGUUCAGGGUUUUGCCUUUAAUUCAUUAAUUUAAGAUUCUGCUUUUGUUGUAAAAUGGUUUAAGAUGAGAAGGUGAAACAACUGGUUUUAAAAGUAUUUGCUCGUUGGCCUGGCUUAAAGUCAGGAAGUCACUUGAGCAAUAAAAGAUUCUUUGUCAUUCCAUAUUUUGUAAAAAUGGAUUCACUCUGAAUAAAGUAGUGUCUGAGGAGAGUGAGCGGAUUCAAAAGACCUAGACCAAGAUGCACUUAAAUCUUACUAGCUUAUGGUAGAAACAGUAACAAAUUUAUGACUGCAGUUCUUUCAUUCGUUGAAGAACUUUCAUUGAGCAGCUGUGAUAUUAAGACACUGAGAAGUAAGUAAUGAUUAAACAGAUCAACUUCUCUUUGGCAUGUUUCACAGAGUGGGAGUGAGAGAAACUUUUAUUUAUUCAUUCAUACAAACAUUGGAAAAGGUGAUGCUAAAUGAAACAGGUCUGGUACAAAAGGCACUUUGUCUUGGAGAUGCAAUUGAAAAACAAGAAAUGGAAUGAAACCUUUUCAUUUAUUCAUUCAUUCUACAAGUAGGCCUAUUGUGUAUAAGGCCCUUUGCUAGGUUCUCAGUUGGCACCAGAGACUUGAGCAAAUGAAUGCUUUCCCACAGACAUUUUAAAACUUCCUUUUGGGUUGUUAGAAUUUCUGAUGAGGGGCUUAGACGCCGAACAACAUUGUACAAUUUAAUUCCUACUCCAUAUUUCUUCUACCAGUCUGGCCACCACGAUCAGCAGGGUUUUCCACUGAGCUUACUCCUUAGGUUUCAGGAACCAUCCCUGAUGAGAAAUAGCUGUGACCACUUGCUGGGCAGGAGGAGGGAUGGCAAAUGGCUAAUUCCCAAACCCCGGUCUCCGUGGCACCAGCCUUGGGGAACCACUCAUACCUAAGCCACAGUUGGUUUUGAAACGCAUUUACCAGUUCUUUUUUCUAUUCUUUACCUUUUACAUUCUUUCAAUUACCCACUAUAUAGGCCUCUGAAGAACAAUCCCCAGAUAGUACAUAGCAAGAUUGGAGACGGAGACCUGAUUUCUCUUUUGCAACAACUUUUCAACUUACACUUCAGAAAUCUCGGCAUCAAAACCUGCUCAAGAAAGAACUUGGUGUAACAGAAUAAUGUCAGUCGACGGAAAUAGCUUAAUUUUUACCAUACUGAAAUUGUAAGAAUCAUAAAAAUUGGAAGUAAUUGGCAAAAACUCGAAAAACAACCCAAAAUCUCUAAAUCGAGGCCCUCUGGGCUUUGACCUUUUCUAUUUUGAAAUCACUCACAGAGGGUGGGCUAGGAGGAAGAGUGAAAGAAUAGGUCAAAGCUCUUUCUGAGGACCGCCUGCCUUUGUCUGGAUUGGUCUUAAGACCAUGACUACCUCCAGGUCUAACGGGAAUUGCUUUUGUUACUUCAGUGCAAUUCCAAUAAUGCCAUUGUUGAGAUGAGGAUAAAAUUCUUUGUCACCACUCAUUUCUCUAAGUUCUUGAGAAACAACUUUUGGCUGAAUGGUUAUCAGCUAAGCCUUGGGUUAGAUAAUGAUGGGACUUAUUAAUCAAUUUGAAGAAGAUUUGAGGGUGGUGGGUGUAUUAGGAGAAAGGAGAAAGUAACUGAUAGCCUUCCUUUCGCAGUUUCUGGCACCCUACCACUACAGAUAAAACAAGAAUAAGACCACACACCACCAUCAUCCGAUUGUUGUGGCAUAAAGAAAGUUGUGAACAAACUGGUUUUCCUAUUGUUGUGGCAUAAAGAAAGUUGUGAACAAACUGGUUUUCCUAGGAAAUGGCUUCAUCUCUACCCUUCUGUGCCUCAAAGGGAAUGCAUGCAAAAAUGCUCCAGGAAACGGAAGACACUCUGACUUGUGAACUGACGUGAGAUGCAGAAUCUCUGAGCCUUGAGUGUUAGGAAGCUUGAACAGUUUUGCUAGCAUGAGUGACCAUGAAAAGCAAUCGAAAGCCAUCCAUCUACAUGUCACAACUGAGACAGAUCGGGGGAUAUGUUGUCUAAUGUCAAAUAAAAUGUACUGUUUUGGAAA
Long non-coding RNA from Hipposideros armiger (great roundleaf bat), 13251 nucleotides. RefSeq lists it as uncharacterized. Lineage: Eukaryota; Metazoa; Chordata; Mammalia; Chiroptera; Hipposideridae. The record is from RefSeq and is a predicted model, not a curated record. The transcript is spliced from 6 exons.